Molecule: ribosomal RNA, 375 nt
Filed under: uncultured bacterium
Lineage: Bacteria
Description: bacterial SSU rRNA
Rfam family: Bacterial small subunit ribosomal RNA
Source: RNAcentral
UAAUACGUAGGGUGCGAGCGUUAAUCGGAAUUACUGGGCGUAAAGCGUGCGCAGGCGGUUUUGUAAGUCAGAUGUGAAAUCCCCGGGCUUAACCUGGGAACUGCGUUUGAAACUACAAGGCUAGAGUGUGGCAGAGGGGGGUGGAAUUCCACGUGUAGCAGUGAAAUGCGUAGAGAUGUGGAGGAACACCGAUGGCGAAGGCAGCCCCCUGGGUUAACACUGACGCUCAGGCACGAAAGCGUGGGGAGCAAACAGGAUUAGAUACCCUGGUAGUCCACGCCCUAAACGAUGUCAACUAGUUGUCGGGUCUUAACGGACUUGGUAACGCAGCUAACGCGUGAAGUUGACCGCCUGGGGAGUACGGUCGCAAGAUUA